GACAAUUAUAAAAUAAGAAGGGCGCAGCAGCUCACUCCACCUCGUUCUCCAAAAAUCGGCAUCUUCCACCCAAAAAUAAGUUCAUUAGAGACCAAAAUUAUCAGAUCUUCCUCUAAAAAAGAGCUAGCAUCGUUCCCUCUCUUCAAGGGUCGUCCCCCUUUUUAUUUUUCUCAACAGAGAACAGGGACAAUCUCUCGUUUUGCUGCAUCUCCGGCGAUCCAAGGCAGAAUCCGGCCAGCCAUCGAGCCCCCCAUGGUUCUUCAUCUACUCUUACACACGCUGAGGCCUCCUGCAACAAGCGGAAAUUACAAAGUUUAGAGCUAAAAUUCAAAAAUUGCAAAGUUGAUUUUCCGUUUCAAAUCCUUGUCUUCUCUCGUAUUUUUUGGGGAUUUCAGAGCUUGGUGGAGCUGUAGAACUUGUUUCGAAGCUGGAGUUUGAUUUAAAAUCAAAUCUCUGUUCGAUUUCGCUGAUUUUAUUAUUUCAGGAACUGCUGAGCUUCGGUCGAUUUCGCCCCUGCAUCUAGUCUGUUUACUUGAGUUCUUUGUUUAACCAGGUAUUUAUUUUUUUUAUUGUUUAUGAGUUGUUUCAUUUUGUAGUGAGCUAAAAUUUGUCAAACACACUUUGUAAUGUGAUAAUUGCUGCCAAGAUGUUGAAUUUAAAACAUCUGUUACUUAUUCGUUCUCAUUUCAUGAUUAAGGUGAAUUAGAUAUUAUUUGUUAUUUAACGAAAGUUUAGUCACCAGUUCUGUCUACUCACGAGAUUCUUGUCUUUUGGCUUGAAAUUUUGAGCAAUGUACAUAUUCAUAUUGCAACACUAGAAGAACUUAGCAAGAACAAUUUUUGCAAAUCGAACGAGGAUAUACUUUUGAUUACGCAUUUGGGUCUAAAUCUACCGAAUUCACUGUGCAACCUUUUUCUUAAUGUGAGACUUUGUAUUGUCUUAUACUUGUCUACAUUGCAGAUGAUAUGGAUCACUUGUAUUAGACAACAGUGUCUAUUAUUUGCCUAGUAUCUCCUUGAUUUACUGUGUUUAAUGUGCUUCAGUUUUCAAACUUUGUUUUUAACAUUAAGUUAAAGUUAGAUACACCGUAUGCAAUGUUUUCUUUUAUUUAUGGAAGCAAUCUCUUUGAUGCACAAACUUUGUAUCUGGAUUGCUAGCUUGAGGUUUGCUUUCGUAUGAUUUUUUUUGUAUUUGUAACGGUUUGAAUUAAAUCGAGGUGUGUCAUGCCAAAUAAAAUUCCAAAACCCAUGGCUCUCACUUAAUUAAUUUUAAUCCUUAGAAAUCGAGGCGUGCCAUUUAGUUGAAUUUUCCUUGGACCUCGCAAAGUUAAAAGUGCGUAGUUGUUUUAGGCACGUUAUUUUAAAAAUUAAUUUCCUAAACUCGGGUGUGCAUUUCAUGUGACCCAAAUCCAAAUUUCAACAGCAUUAAAUAAAAUGUGUCGUGGACUGCGGGUGCAUUUCAUGUGGCGUGGUUCAGAGACGUGUUUUAGAUAACAUUUAAUCUUCCUAAAAUUAAUUAAAAGUGGUUUAAUAAGUUAAAAUAUACCAUUGGCUAAAACAUAUAUUAAAAUAAGAUAAUAGACCAAUUAUGAUAGUUUAAACGGCCGUGCUAGAACCACGGAAUUCGGGGGUGCCUAACACCUUCCCUCGGGUUAACAGAAUUCCUUAUUCAGAAUUUCUGGUUCGCAGACUUCAAAAGGAAAGUCGAAUUGUCCUCGAUUUGGGAUUUUAAAAUGAACCGGUGACUUGGGACACCAAAUAAACUAUCUCAAGUGGCGACUCUGAAAUGAUUAAAUAAUCCCAUUUCGAAUAAUGUCAAUUAAAUUGAAAAAACUCCAAUAUAUACCCCCUCGGGUGUGUAAAAAGGAGGUGUGACAUUGUCCUAUACCCAUAAUGUCACAAACCUGAUUUUUCGAUGCAAAGAGAGAAAAAGGGGGGCGCGACAGAGAUUAGCAGAGAUAACUUAGAGAAGAAACUAGGUACCAAACCCUAGUGUGUCAGAGUUCACAAGGGUCUCAAAUGAACCCUGAGCAGCGCUCACACUAGAGAGGCCAAAGGACAGAACCUAAGUAGCAUUGGCUUUCAGUCUGCUAAGAAUGGAAUUUAAAGGACUUAGGUGACAGGUGAAAGAAAGUACCAAAGUUGAGAAAACAGGAAUUGAAAGGUUUAAACAAACACAACUAAAUUGAGCAAACCAGGUAGACAGUUGAUUAAAUAACAAAGCUAAAAAGAGCAAGUUUAAUGUACACUAAGAAACAGAUUCAACACUUAGCACAGAAGUCGUCGCAUGCUAAAAGAAAAGUUGAAAAGAACAUAUUUGCAAGAUUGACUAAGUUUACUAUACACAGGUGCAAGACAGGUUAAAACAUGGUUGAAUUAUUCCAUGUACACAACCUAAUGUUAUUACCAAGGAGACAGGACAUCAUUGUGAUGAGUCAAAUAAUCAUAGAAAGAGUAGGGUAUCAUGUUAGCAAAGGGGUGAGAUUACAAUCACAAAUUAAGACACAUAUACAAACUAUUACUCAUAAUAGAAGGUUGUAUCAUAUAAAGUAGCAAGCAUAGGCAUUCAAGUAUUGUUAUAGUAGUCUAAUUAAUAAAAGAUGAUCCAGUUUGUACCAAAGAUUUAGCCUAACAUCUCAAAGUAUUGAUUCAAACAUGAUGAGACAACUGUUCCAAAUCAUAAGCAAACACUAGAAAAAAAGGAGAGGGGUAUAGGGUCGAGUGAUCAUGCUGAAUAAUACAAUAGCAGGGAGGUAAACUACGACUGACAAUGAAGGUCUUAACACAAGAUAACACAAAUGUGAGGCACCCACUACAUGGAUUUAGGACAAGUGAGCAAACAUGUUCAUGAGCAUUCAAAAGUUUAACACACUAACUGAAUAAACCCCAAGAAAGUCCAGAUUAACUAGGCUAGGAAUAGAUAACUGCAGAACUGGUGGCAUUAGGGGCAGUUAAGUGUUAAAGAGGCUAAAACAUGUAAAGUUGAUAGAACAAUGCCUAACAGGACUCAGAAGCCUAUUGAACCAUAGAUUCAUAAGUAAGAACACAUGCAAAUCAUAGACAUGUAAGAAUGGAAUUGCAGAAGUCAAGUGACUCACCAGUUAAGUAAAAAUGCACAAAAUAAUAAAAGCCACAGUAUUCUGAGUAGCAAGAUCCCAGAACUAAAUGGCCUUGGCUUCCAGCCGGCUAAAAUCAAAGUAUAGAAUGUAAAUUAGAGUAAAGCUUUUUGAUUUAGUGAAGCUAUAUCGAGUUCAGAAAGUCUGUUCAAAGGGAAUGGGGGGAGGGAUUUAUAUAGUGGUAGAAAUUAACAUCCAAAUAAGGAAAAUCAUCAAUCAAACACGAGAAAGGAAAAAUUCAUUACAUGCAAUCAGAAUCAGUAAGGGAAAGGGAAAAGUCUCAAACCCUAAUUCUAGGGAGAGUGUAAAAUCGACUGAAUAAAAUCAAACACCACAUAGAAUAGGACGAACAUAGACGGAAUUGCACUUAAAAUCAGAGAAUCGAACUCGAUUUGGUUCAAUUAAAAGAGGUCUAAAAACCCUAAUUUAGGGUGGGUAAGAAUCAUCAACAUAUAUAGAAAAUAUUCAUACUUACAAAGGAUACAUGAAGAACAUAGACAGAAUAAUCAGAGAAAUCAAGGAUUUGAACCGAUUUGGUUCAAUUUUAAUGAGAUUUGCUUGCCAUGUUAGGCAAUCAACUAGGUAACACCACAAAUGAGUAACCAGUAGAGAAGGAACACAGAUAUGGUAAGUAAAUUAUAGGUAAAUCCCAUGGCUAAAGGGAUUAGGAAGCGGAUUGGUAAAGCGCAGCGAUUAGGUUUAUUCAGAGGUGAGACAGGGAGAGUUUAGAGGUGGCGGUCUUUAGGGAAUGGGGAUUAGGGUUAGGGUGAGGAGAUAUAAGGAAAGGGGAUAGGGUUUUGUGAGCCGUUGAUCAUUUUUGAUCAACGGUUGAGGUUGAAGGAGAUUUGGGUCGGAUUAAUUAGCUGGUUGGGCUGGGGGUUAUUUGGUUUGGGCUUAGGUAUUAUUGGGCUAUUAGGUCCGAAAAUGGAUUUUGAAUUAGGCUAGUUUUUAAAUACCCAAUAUUUUAAAAAAUAAAUAAUUUAUAAAAGUAAUUAAUAGAUAACAAAAAUAUUAUUUUUGCACUAAAAUAAUUAAAAAUAAUCUCUUAACAUUAUAAAAAUAUAUUUUAUGCAUAAAUAAUGUAAUUAUAUAUUAAUAUGGGCUAUUAUUGGAAAGAUGUGCAAUUUAGCCUUAAAAAUGCAAAUGCAAUUAUAAAAAUGUACUGAAAAAUAUUUAAACAUUAUGUGGGUAUAAAUGAUAAAUUUAGAUGAUUAAAUAUUCAUAAAAUAAUUUGAAGGAUAAUUAUUGGUUAUUUAUAUAUAAUAAAAAAUGCAAGAAUAAAUUGGUUUAAAGCCCUUAAAAAUUAUAAAACAAUUAUGAAAAAUAUUUAUGUAUGCUUAUAAAUCAAAUGAUGGUGGAUAUGCACUAUUUUGAAAGUAUAUGUAUAUAUAUUUAAAAUAUGAGGGAAAAAUUAGGUAUCAACAGCUGCCCCUCUUUAUCCGGGAAUGAUGAAAGAAUUAUCGAGUAAAGAAUGAUGACCUAUUUUGACCGAAUGGGGUAAUUUUUAAAAGUAAAGGCCGAACUCUGGUUUUUGAGUUGCCUACACAUCCCUGGUUUUACAGAAAUUAGGCCAUGUGUAGUUCUGGACCCAACGGUGAAUGAAACCGAUGGAAUUAUUAUAGGAAUGGUCGUGUGUUUCGGAAAAGGUUCUUUUGAGAAGGAUAGUAUCAGGUGCAGAGUUUUGAAUGUGAAUUUAAAAUGCAACGAAUGUGUUAUAGAGCAAGUAUUUGAAUAGCCACAGAGAAAAGUGAGUAAUUGAUGGGAGUCGGUUACGUUUAGAACAUAUGAACAUCGUGAAUAGAAAUCGGAGCAAAUAUUGCUCCCGUUUGAAGAACGGUUACCUCCUGGAUUACCUUCAAAACUUAAAAUACGAUGCAUGCAAAACAUAUAUGGGUUAUUGCGAGAAUUUAAACAUGAUGCAAAUUCCCUUUGGACCAUGAAGAUUAUCUUCGGACGGUGAGGAUGAUGUCCUUAGACCAUGAUGUCCUGGUCCAUGAAUCAUGUGAUAAGGGAUUCACAGGCCAUGAAAUGAUAUUCUUGGGUGAGAAUGGUGCCUCUGAACCAUGAUGUCUUUGAAUAAUAAUAUUCAGCAUUGAGAGAUCCUCAGGCUAUGACAUGGUGUCUUCAGGCUAUGAGGAUGAUGCCUUCGGACUAUGACGCCUUUGGAUAAUAUGGCAAUGUUUCAGCCCAUGAAAUGCAAAGACAUGAUGAUGGAUCAUAUAAGCGAAGCAAGACAGAGCUUAGUCUUGCAUAAGAUUGGGACAGAGCUUGGCCUCGAGAAGGAAAAAUAGUGCUAGAUUCCAAGUAGCAUAACAUUCGUUAUCAUGUAGGGAAAAGCAGAUCUUAGCCUUAUGCAGUUAGGGAGGCAAUGCUUCGCCUCAUGAAAGAAAGGGGGCAGUGCUUAGCCUCAUGCAAUGAAAGGCAAUGCUUAGCCUUAUGAAAUUUAGGGAGGCAGUGCUUAGCCUCAUGCAAAAGAGGAGACCGGGCUUAGUCUCAUGUGAUGGAAGGCAGCGUUUAGCCUUAUGUAGUUGAGGAGGCAGGGCUUAGCCUCAUUCAAAAAGAUUAUAUAUGGCUUAGUCUCAUGCGAUUGAGGAAGCAGGGCUUAGCCUCAUUCAAGAAGAGUAUAUAUGGCUUAGUCUCAUGCGAUUGAGGAGGUAGGCUUAGCCUCAUACAGAAUAGGAGAUAAUGCUUAGUCUCAUAUAGGGGAAGGCAAUGCUUAGCCUUAUGCAGAAUGGAGACAAUACUUAGUCUCAUGUAGGGGAAGGCAGUGCGUAGCCUUAUGCAGAAUGGAGACAAUUCUUGGUCUCAUACAGGGGAAGGAAGUGCUUAGCCUUAUGCAGUUGAGGAGGCAGGGCUUAGCCUCAUGCAAGACGAGGAGACAAUGCUUAGUCUCAUGCAGGGAAAGGCAAUGCUUAGCCUUAUACAAAAUGGAGACAAUGUUUAGUCUCAUGCAGGGAAAGGCAAUGCUUAGCCUUAUGCAGAAUAGAGACAAUGCUUAAUCUCAUGCAGGGGAAGGCAGUGCUUAGUCUUAUGCAGAAUGGAGACAAUGCUUAGUCUCAUGCAGGGGAAGGCAGUGUUUAGCCUUAUGCAGUUGAGGAGGCAUGGCUUAGCCUCAUGCAAGAAGAGGAGACAAUGCUUAGUCUCAUGCAGGGAAAAACAAUGCUUAUCCUAAUGCAGAAUGGAGACAAUACUUAGUCUCAUGCAAGGGAAGGCAAUGCUUAGCCUUAUGCAGUUGAAGAGGAAGGGCUUAGCCUCAUGUAAGGAGAGGAGACAAUGCUUAGUCUCAUGCAGGGAAAGGCAAUGCUUUGCUUUUUGCAGAAUGGAGAUAAUGCUUAGUCUCAUGCAGGGGAAGGCAGUGCUUAGCCUUAUGCAGUUGAGGAGGCAGGGCUUAGCCUCAUGCAAGAAGAGGAGACAAUGCUUAGUCUCAUACGAUUGAGGAGGCAGGGCUUAGCCUCAUACAGAAUAGAAGACAAUGCUUAGUCUCAUGCAAAGAAAAGGUAGUGAGUGAUAGUAGAGUAUUUCUUACUCAAUGUUUAGUCUCAUGCCAAACUUCUCCAUACAUUUCUAUGAGUAUGAGUGCUCCCCCUGUAAAUACUCAAUGAACCAUGUAGGGCCCUUGCCAAUUGGGUUAAAAUUUCCCUUUGGUCUCAUCUUGAUGUGGGGAGAUCCACUUCAGCACCAGCUGCCCCGGUGCAAACUAUCUGGAUUUGACCCUCUUGUUGAAAGUUCUAAACAUUCUGUUCUGAUAAAGUUGACCGUGACAUAUCGAAUUCAUUCUUUUUCCAUCAAUAAGAGCUAACUAUUCAUAACGACUUCCUAUCCAUUCUGCAUCACUGAGUUCAACUUUUUGUAUAAUUCUUAAGGAAGGGAUUUCGACCUCGGCGGGAAUGACAGCUUCUGUACCGUAGACCAACAUGUAGGGAGUUGCUCAGGUUGAUGUGCUAACUAUGGUAUGAUAUCCCAAUAAGGCAAAUGGUAAUUUCUCGUGCCAGUGGUUGUCUACUAUUUUCCUUAGAAUUUCUUGAUGUUCUUGAUGGCAGCUUCCACGGCUCCAUUUAUUUGAGGUAUGUAUGCUGUGGAAUUCUUAUGCUUGAUUUUGAAGGUUUCACACAUAGCUUUCACUAAGUCGUUGUUGAGGUUGGCAGCAUUAUCGGUGAUGAUGGAUUCUGGCACCCUAAAUCGGCAAACAAUACGAUUCCUAACAAAAUCUGCAAUGACUUUCUUGGUUAUAGCCUUGUAAGAUGCAGCCUCAACCUAUUUUGUGAAGUAGUCUAUGGCCACUAAAAUAAACAUGUGCCCGUUUGACGCGGUGGGCUCAAUCGGGCCGAUGACAUCCAUUCCCCAAGUGGUAAAAAGCCAAGGUGCACUUGUGGCAUUGAUUUCAUUUGGUGGCACCCGUAUCAUAUUUGCAUGUACCUGACACUAGUGACACUUUUGGACAUACCUGAUGUAGUUUGUUUCCAUACUCAUCCAAAAGUACGCUGCUUUUAGUAUCUUCCUGGCUAAAAUGAAACCAUUCAUAUAUGGUCCGCAAGUUCCGGCAUGUAUCUCUUCGAGUAGUUUGGAGGCUUCUUUGGCAUCAACACACCAUAAUAAUCCUAGGUAUGGAGUCCUUCAGUACAGAAUUCCUCCGCUUUGGAAGAAAUGGUUGGAUAAUCUUCAGAGCGUGCGUUUCUGAGUAUGAUUUGCAUGCUCCGGGUAUUCUCUUUUUGCCAAGUAUUCCUUGAUAUCAUGGAACCACGGAUUCCCAUCCAUUUCUUCUUCAAUAUGAGCGCAAUAAGCUGGUUGAUUAUGGGUUCUUACUAGAAUAGGGUCGAUGAAACUCUUAUCUGGAUGUUGUAUCAUGGAAGACAAAGUAGCCAGUGCGUCUGCAAACUCGUUCUUGAUUCUCGGAACAUGUUUGAAUUCUAUCUUUGCGAACCUCUUCAUCAACUCUUGUACGUGAUAACAGAUAUGGCAAUAUUUUUGUAUUCUUUGGUAGCCCACUCUCCUAGAACCUGAUGUACCAGAAGGUCUGAAUCACCAAUUACCAAUAAUUCCUGGAUAUUCAUGUCAAUGGCCAAAUUGAGCCCCAUGAUGCAAGCCUCAUAUUCUGCCAUAUUGUUGGUGCAUGGAAAUAUGAGUUUCGCGGAUACCUGGUAAUGCUGACCUGUCUUUGACACCAAAACAGCUCUAAUACCCACUCAUUUGAAAUUUGCAGUCCCGUCGAAGAACAUUCUCCAACCGUCAUAGGUUUCGGUGAUAUCUUCUCCUAUAAAUGAUACCUCUUCAUCGGGAAAAUACAUUUUCAAUGGUUUGUAUUCUCCUCCUACAGGAGUUUCCGCAAGAUGAUCUACUAAUGCCUGUCCCUGGAUCGCCUUCUUAAUCACAUAGACGAUAUCAAAUACAUUCAACAAUAUCUGCCAUUUUUCUAGUUUCCCUGUAGGCAUUGGUUUCUGAAAAAUGUAUUUCAGGGGAUCCAUCCUUGAUAUGAGAUAUGUAGCAUAGGCAUCAAUUUUUGAGCUAUCCACGUCAGGGCACAGCAGGUACAUUUCGGCAAAUAAUAUCGUGCCUCAUAGGGUAUGAACUUCUUACUCAAGUAGUAUAUGGCAUGUUCCUUUCUUCUCGUCUCGUUGUGUUGUCCCAAGACACAACCGAAAGCUCCAUCUAGUAUGGACAAAUAGAGUAGUAGAGGUCUACCAGGUUCCGGCAGGACCAAGACUGGUGGUAUAGAUAGGUACUCCUUGAUUCUGUCAAAGGCUUUUUGACAUUCUUUAGUCCAUCUAGUUGCGGCAUCUUUCUUCAGCAUUUUGAAAAUUGGUUCACAGAUCAUGGCCAUUUGUGCAAUGAAUCGGCUGAUGUAAUUGAGACGCCCCAAGAAGCUCAUCACAUCUUUCUUGCUCUUCGGAGGUGGCAAAUCUUGGAUAGCUUUGACCUUUGAAGGGUCCAAUUCAAUCCCUCGGUGACUGAUGAUGAAACCUAGUAAUUUUCCAGCAGGGACUCCGAAGGCACACUUCGCAGGAUUCAGUUUUAGAUUGUACCUUCAAAGUCGAUUAAAGAAUUUCCUUAAAUCUGUUAUAUGAUUUGCGCUUCUUUUGGAUUUGAUGAUGACGUCAUCCACAUACACCUCUAUUUCUUUAUGAAUCAUGUCAUGGAAAAUAGUCGCCAUGGCUCUCAUAUAAGUGGCUCCAGCAUUCUUCAGGACAAACAACAUCAUUUUAUAACAAUAUAUCCCCCAUGGAGUGAUAAAGGCCGUUUUCUCGGCAUCUCCCUUAUCCAUCCAAAUCUGAUGUAUCCCGUGAAGCAAUCCACAAAGGAUUGGAGUUCAUGCUUGGCACAGUUGUCGAUCAGUAUGUGUAUGUUUGGUAGUGGGAAAUCUUUUUUGGGACUUGCUUUGUUUAAAUCUCGAUAGUCGACACAUACUCUAACCUUUCCAUCCUUCUUCGGAACUGGCAUGAUGUUAGCCAACCAAGUAGGAUAUUCGACCACUAUAAGAACUUUAGGUUUGAUUUGCUUGAUGACUUUCUCAUUGAUUUUCAGACUCAUAUCAGGCUUGAACUUUAUGAGUUUUUGUUUUACAGGCGGACAUAUUGGAUUGGUAGGUAGUUUAUGAGCUACGAUAGAUGUGCUCAACCUGGUCAUAUCAUCAUAAGACCAUGCAAAGAUAUCUUCGUAUUCUUUUAGGAAAU
RNAcentral lists this long non-coding RNA (9783 nucleotides) under Nicotiana tabacum (common tobacco). RNAcentral describes it as "long non-coding RNA (NTAB_LNC016173)". Lineage: Eukaryota; Viridiplantae; Streptophyta; Magnoliopsida; Solanales; Solanaceae. The record is from RNAcentral.